RNAcentral lists this long non-coding RNA (209 nucleotides) under Elaeis guineensis (African oil palm). Its description in RNAcentral is "long non-coding RNA (EGUI_LNC080882)". Lineage: Eukaryota; Viridiplantae; Streptophyta; Magnoliopsida; Arecales; Arecaceae. The record is from RNAcentral.
ACCCAAUGCCCACACCAUGGAAAAAAAUCUAGAGGCUAUGCUAGAUAAUUUAUAAAGAGCUAGAUUUAAAUUCUAGAACCAUGCUAGAGUCCAUAUGCUAGGGUCAAUUCAUAUACAAGGAACCCGCUAAAGCCUGAUAAUUUUUAGAAGAUCUAGCUGAGAAAAAUUUAUAAUAAAAAAUAACUAGAGAACUUGAGAGACCAACACCU